This 793-nucleotide ribosomal RNA is filed under the name uncultured Pseudomonadota bacterium. RNAcentral's name for it is "bacterial SSU rRNA". It matches the Rfam family "Bacterial small subunit ribosomal RNA", at positions 8 to 796 of the family's 1533-position model. The record is from RNAcentral. Lineage: Bacteria; Pseudomonadati; Pseudomonadota.
AGAGUUUGAUCAUGGCUCAGAACGAACGCUGGCGGCAUGCCUAAUACAUGCAAGUCGCACGAGAAAGUCCUUCGGGAUGAGUAGAGUGGCGCACGGGUGAGUAAUGCAUAGGAACAUACCUUUUGGUGGGGAAUAACCACGGGAAACUGUGGCUAAUACCGCAUGGCGUCGAGAGACUAAAGCAGGCCUCUAUUUAUAAGCUUGCGCCAGAAGAGUGGCCUAUGUCCCAUUAGCUAGUUGGUAAGGUAAUGGCUUACCAAGGCGACGAUGGGUAGCUGGUCUGAGAGGAUGAUCAGCCACACUGGGACUGAGACACGGCCCAGACUCCUACGGGAGGCAGCAGUAGGGAAUUUUGCACAAUGGGCGCAAGCCUGAUGCAGCAAUGCCGCGUGAGUGAAGAAGGCUCUCGGGUCGUAAAGCUCUUUCGGCUGGAAAGAAGGGAUCACUUGCGAACAGUCUGUGAUUCUGACGGUACCAGAAGAAGAAGGACCUGCUAACUACGUGCCAGCAGCAGCGGUAAUACGUAGGGUCCAAGCGUUGUUCGGAAUUACUGGGCGUAAAGCGCGCGUAGGCGGGUUUGUAUGUCGAUUGUGAAAUCCCCGGGCUCAACCUGGGAACUGCAGUCGAAACUGCAAAUCUUGAAUGUCUGAGAGGAUGGCGGAAUUCCCGGUGUAGUAGUGAAAUACGUAGAUAUCGGGAAGAACACCUGAGGCGAAGGCGGCUAUCUGGCGGUACAUUGACGCUAAGGCGCGAAAGCGUGGGGAGCAAACAGGAUUAGAUACCCCUGUAGUCC